RNAcentral lists this long non-coding RNA (3642 nucleotides) under Homo sapiens (human). Its description in RNAcentral is "HSALNT0251702". The record is from RNAcentral. Lineage: Eukaryota; Metazoa; Chordata; Mammalia; Primates; Hominidae.
GAAAGGGCUCUCAGGCACCCCUUUCUUCUUUCCUGAAAGGAUCAAUCGCAGAGCUCUGCCUUUGUGUGUGUGAUGGCCCUGCUGUGAAGUACACUUAAGGAAUCAAGUUUUCUAAAAUUCUAUAAAUCAUUAUUCCAGCCUCUUGCUCACCCGCUCCAAAAUCAUUCAUCUGCUGAAAUAUUUAGCGAUGGGUGCGUCUGCGCACACACACCCUGUAGGCAGGCAUGCGGAAGAGGACAUAGGAGCCGUGGCAGAGGUGUCCCAAGGCCUCUGCCUCUCUGCUGUCCCUUCACAGCGACCUUAACAGGCCCCAUGAUAGUCAUGUGCAGGUGAUCGUGACCAAAUCUUGAGAUGUGGCUUCCUCCGCCCCUCUCGAGGGCUCCAUAAAAGGAAGUCCCCAGGGUACUGUGGUAACACCCUGGUGGCUCCCUCUGGGGUCCCAAAGAGGAAGGCGUGGGUGUGUGCACAGGUUUGUGGUCAGGUCUGCUAGGGUGGCCGGGGAACACCACCCUGUAGAAGUUGUUCCUGGCUCCUGUCCUCUGCACUGUUGGCCACUCUUAGCAAGCAUCUGGGGAGAGCAGUGUUGUGCUGAUGUGAUGAGUUUAGCCUGUGAGUUGUGGGCUGGGCAGGGGAGACUGGAAGUGGUGGCCCUUUGGUGGACUUGGUUAUUUGAGAGUGAGGGUUUUGGCCUGGUUCCUCUGUCCUCACCAGGGCUAGAAGCUCCAGUACUUUCCAGAAUUUUCCACCCCUCCCUCCCUGUACACACACACCCUGACACAUGACAGGGCAGACCACAGCAGCCACAGCCAAUGUCCCUGAAAGGCAAGGCAGGCCUGAUUGAUUUGCAGUGGUUGAUCUGUGUAAUGUCCCUUCUCCCCAAGCACCCAUCUCGCCUGCAGAGGUGCUACAUUACUUCGCAGGCCUGGCUGCCAGCCUGACACCCUACGCCCUGGAGGAUGCUUGGGAGGUUACAGGUGCAACAAGCAAAAUGAAAAUCCAUAGUUUUAAACCUUUAUGAAUUGAGAAUGUGAACCUGGCAAAUGGACCCGGAGUUACUAACGGACAAUUGGUGUAACCAGCCCAUCCAUCCUCCAGGACCUGGCAAGGCCAUUUCCGUGAACUGCUGGCUCCUAAACACGGAGCCUUCCCUGAGCCUGCCUUCCCUCCCCCUUCUCAGAGUCAGGAAAACAGAUGCAGGCAUGGGAAAAAGACCUGCAGACGGCCUGCCAGGGGCCCCCCGGCUCUGUGUGCCCAGGUGAGGCCUUAGGAGGAGGCAGCAGUGGGUGUCGGGGAGGGGAUUCAGGCCUCCUGGGCUGUCCAGGGCUUUAGCCAACCAUCAAUGGGCGAAACAGAGCCGCUAUCCUGACUUCCACAUACAAGCAUUAGAAAUCUCCUCUUGUACAAAGGAAGACCAUAUCCCAACCAUACAUGUGCACUUGACUCAAUGGCUGUGCUAUCAAGUGGGAGGGACAUCCAGCCCUGGGUCCCCCCGGUCCUAGCCAUCUGUAUGUACUAAGGACACUGUCUCUCAGAGCCUGCAAACAUGCCAUCCCUGCAAUACCCAUGAGUCACUCACCUUCUCAGAGGAGCCUUUUCUGGCAAUUCUGUUGAAUGUUGCCCCAACCCUGUAUUCCCUACACACUGCCUGCUUUAUUUUCUCUAUAGCUGUGGUCACAAUUGGACGGACUGUAUAUUUUACUUAUUUGUGGGUUUCAUAUCUGUUUUUCUCCUCUAGGACAGAAGCUCCAUGAGGGCUGGAAUUAUCGUCUGUUCUGUUUGCUAUUUUUUCCAAGCACCUAGAAAAUUACCUGGCACAUAGUAGGUGAAUAAUAAGUAUUUGUUGAGUGAAUAAAUGAAUGGUUGGAUGUCCCAGAGGUGUGAGGCUUUUCCUUGUUUGAACCCCAGCACUCUGAUCUCCACCCUCUAGAGGGGAUUGUCCCUUUCCUGUUGCUGCUUCAUUAGCUGUCGUGACCUUGCCAGGACCUGCCUGCUCGGCUGCCUUCCCACUCUUUUUUCUCCUGUCCAGCCCCGCGCCAUUCUCAUGCUCCUGGUACAUGAGAGCAGUUUACUGUUCUGCUCCCGUCUGGGUGUUCUCUCUUUUCCUGCAGGCCCAAGAUCACUAAUUAAAUGAAGGGACUUGGCGUUUUUCUCCCUGCAUGCCCCCAUCCUUCACCAAGCACCCCCCAACCCCAACACUUGGACACAACUGAUGCUGAGUUGGAAGUUUCCUAAAAGUUACUGUGGACUUUCCCUCUAGACAGCAGCAUGAGCUGCUCCGCACCUUCACAAACAAGGGAACAAGGGGACAAGUUCAGCCCUUUGAGGAUUAAACUCUGAAAUCAACCCAUGAUUGAUGGGGGCAGAGAUAAACAGCCCUGAGAAGCAGAAGGGACACAAAAGAAGUGAUCAAUAAAUGUUAGCUUCCUUCUGCUGUGGUCUGAAUGUUUGUGUCCCUUCAAAAUUCAUAUCUUCAUACCUAAUCUCCAAUGAGAUAGUGUUAAGGGGUGGAGCUUUGGGCGGAGUCCUCAUGAAUGGGAUUAGUGCCUUUAAAAUAUAGGCCUGAGGAAGUUUGUUUUCCCUUCUGCCAUGUGAGCACACAGCUGGAAGGUGCCAUCUAUGAGGCAGAGCAUGGGUCCUCGCCAGACACCAAAUCUGUUGUCACCUUGAUCUUGGACUUCCCAGCCUCCAGAACUGUGAGCAACAAGUUUCUGUUGUUUAUAAAUUAUCCAGUCCAAGAAACUGUGUUACAGCAGCCUGAAUGGACUAAGACACCUUCCUUUUCCCUUCAUUUUCUCACUGCACGAGUCUGGGGUAUUUGUUCAUCAGAUGAUGUGUCAGUCAGGAUGAGUUAGGUGAUCAUGCUGCAGUAACUAACAAAAGAUUAUUUCUAGAUUAUGCUAUGGUCAUGAAAGUUUCUUUCUGCCUCAUGCUACAGAUCCCCCAUGGCUGAGGAGUUUUGUUGUAGUUCUCUUCAUUCUGCACUGCAGGCAGAUACAAGAGUGAGUAUCUUUGACAUUCCCUGUUGCAGAGAGAAAGAGAAUGUAUCAUGAGUGGGUGCUUUCUUAAGUCUACCCAGGAAGUGACAUUUAUAUUCCCACUCACUUUUCACUGGCUUGAACAUGUCACAUGGCUAUGUGGAGCAGGAAGGGCAAUCUUGCCAUGUGCCCCAGGGGAGAUCCGGAAGUCAUCUGAUGAAUAGCACUGACUCCCACCGUGAGAGGCCUUUUUCUGAAAGAAGGGGUGCACUGGGUCACUGCCGACACUUUUCCUGUUUUGAGGAACCUAUCAGACCCUCUGGUUCUUCUAUCUUUUCAACACAUGCCAAUCUUGGAUGAACCCAAUUAUCUGCCUUCAUUCAAGGAGCUGAGGACUGUUGGAGGAAGUCUCACAAUAGGACAGACAGAUGGAUGCCACUGGAAACGUACAAACUCCAAUCUCAAAUAAAGCCUCAAAACUGCCCAGCAACCCUACAGUGGUUCUCUGCCAACUUUCCCUCCUUCGCUCUCCAGAGUGAUGAGUUCAGAACUUUGCCAUUGCCUUCACACUUUCAAGCUCUUCCAUCCUUGCCUUUCUUCUCACUCUUGACAGCAUUUCUCAAAGUUCUUAUUCUGGAAAACACUUUAAAAUACUUUCUAGGUCUGA